CGCUGAANAGAGGAGCUUGCUCUUCUUGGAUGAGUUGCGAACGGGUGAGUAACGCGUAGGUAACCUGCCUUGUAGCGGGGGAUAACUAUUGGAAACGAUAGCUAAUACCGCAUAACAAUGGAUGACACAUGUCAUUUAUUUGAAAGGGGCAAUUGUUCCACUACAAGAUGGACCUGCGUUGUAUUAGCUAGUAGGUGAGGUAAUGGCUCACCUAGGCGACGAUACAUAGCCGACCUGAGAGGGUGAUCGGCCACACUGGGACUGAGACACGGCCCAGACUCCUACGGGAGGCAGCAGUAGGGAAUCUUCGGCAAUGGGGGCAACCCUGACCGAGCAACGCCGCGUGAGUGAAGAAGGUUUUCGGAUCGUAAAGCUCUGUUGUAAGUCAAGAACGGGUGUGAGAGUGGAAAGUUCACACUGUGACGGUAGCUUACCAGAAAGGGACGGCUAACUACGUGCCAGCAGCCGCGGUAAUACGUAGGUCCCGAGCGUUGUCCGGAUUUAUUGGGCGUAAAGCGAGCGCAGGCGGUUUGAUAAGUCUGAAGUUAAAGGCUGUGGCUCAACCAUAGUUCGCUUUGGAAACUGUCAAACUUGAGUGCAGAAGGGGAGAGUGGAAUUCCAUGUGUAGCGGUGAAAUGCGUAGAUAUAUGGAGGAACACCGGUGGCGAAAGCGGCUCUCUGGUCUGUAACUGACGCUGAGGCUCGAAAGCGUGGGGAGCGAACAGGAUUAGAUACCCUGGUAGUCCACGCCGUAAACGAUGAGUGCUAGGUGUUGGAUCCUUUCCGGGAUUCAGUGCCGCAGCUAACGCAUUAAGCACUCCGCCUGGGGAGUACGACCGCAAGGUUGAAACUCAAAGGAAUUGACGGGGGCCCGCACAAGCGGUGGAGCAUGUGGUUUAAUUCGAAGCAACGCGAAGAACCUUACCAGGUCUUGACAUCCCGAUGCUAUUUCUAGAGAUAGAAAGUUACUUCGGUACAUCGGUGACAGGUGGUGCAUGGUUGUCGUCAGCUCGUGUCGUGAGAUGUUGGGUUAAGUCCCGCAACGAGCGCAACCCCUAUUGUUAGUUGCCAUCAUUCAGUUGGGCACUCUAGCGAGACUGCCGGUAAUAAACCGGAGGAAGGUGGGGAUGACGUCAAAUCAUCAUGCCCCUUAUGACCUGGGCUACACACGUGCUACAAUGGUUGGUACAACGAGUUGCGAGUCGGUGACGGCGAGCUAAUCUCUUAAAGCCAAUCUCAGUUCGGAUUGUAGGCUGCAACUCGCCUACAUGAAGUCGGAAUCGCUAGUAAUCGCGGAUCAGCACGCCGCGGUGAAUACGUUCCCGGGCCUUGUACACACCGCCCGUCACACCACGAGAGUUUGUAACACCCGAAGUCGGUGAGGUAACCUUUNGGAGCCA
RNAcentral lists this ribosomal RNA (1400 nucleotides) under Streptococcus thermophilus. RNAcentral's name for it is "bacterial SSU rRNA". It matches the Rfam family "Bacterial small subunit ribosomal RNA". The record is from RNAcentral. RNAcentral also lists the same sequence under 1 other name. Lineage: Bacteria; Bacillati; Bacillota; Bacilli; Lactobacillales; Streptococcaceae.